RNAcentral lists this ribosomal RNA (460 nucleotides) under uncultured bacterium. Its description in RNAcentral is "partial 16S ribosomal RNA". It matches the Rfam family "Bacterial small subunit ribosomal RNA", at positions 338 to 795 of the family's 1533-position model. The record is from RNAcentral.
CCUACGGGUGGCAGCAGUGAGGAAUAUUGGUCAAUGGACGAGAGUCUGAACCAGCCAAGUAGCGUGAAGGAUGACUGCCCUAUGGGUUGUAAACUUCUUUUAUAUGGGAAUAAAAUGUUCCACGUGUGGGAUUUUGUAUGUACCAUAUGAAUAAGGAUCGGCUAACUCCGUGCCAGCAGCCGCGGUAAUACGGAGGAUACGAGCGUUAUCCGGAUUUAUUGGGUUUAAAGGGAGAGUAGGUGGAUUGUUAAGUCAGUUGUGAAAGUUUGCGGCUCAACCGUAAAAUUGCAGUUGAAACUGGCAGUCUUGAGUACAGUAGAGGUGGGCGGAAUUCGUGGUGUAGCGGUGAAAUGCUUAGAUAUCACGAAGAACUCCGAUUGCGAAGGCAGUUCACUGGACUGCAACUGACACUGAGGCUCGAAAGUGUGGGUAUCAAACAGGAUUAGAUACCCCAGUAGUC